CAUCCUGCCUCCCCCCGCACAACUUUGCCCGCCGCGCUGCGUGUGCGGCCGCGGCCCCCCCUCCACCGCGGGAGGGGACUCGGGGGUCCCGGAAGCCCGGACCCCCGGAGUGGGACGCGCGGCCGCGGCGCGGGGCGGCGGGCCGGGCGCGGGGCUGUUUACGCGGCGCCAAGUCCUCCCUCCGCCGCCCGCACGCCCCCCGCCCGGCCCGGCGCGGCCCGCCGCUUACCUCGGCUCACCAGUUUGAAGCUCUGGGAUUUCCUGCUCCUCUUCCUCUCGGAGAACUCCAUGGUGCUGGCAGGAGGCAGGAGGCAGGGGCUGCGGCCGGGGGGCGGCCGGCGGGCGGAGGGAGCGGCGGCCGAGGCGGCGGCGGCGGCGGCGGCGGCGCUGGCUCUUGUCACCCGGCAGCGGGAGCGCCAGGACCAAGGAAAUCCAGACUCGACAGGCUUCAGACACCAUCUAUGCUUCCAUCUCAGUUGGCUUCUCAUCAUGAUCACGAGAUCAAUGCUUCUAUUACAACAGUCACAUGAAAGAAAAUCCAAUGUAAGAAGAGGCACUAUUCUUCUGAUUUAGUCAGAGGGGAAAUGCCACCUGAGGUCUGAGCGCACAUGUGACAGAAAUCCUGGGAGAGAAGCACCGUCGUGAACUUGUUCUUGAAGGAAGUGAGGGGUCUGCAUAGGCCGAGAAAUUGGGAUUCGUGGCAGCAGGAGUGGCCGUGAUCUAGGGAUGAGUGCCAGCGAGCAAGAAAGAGGCAGAGCUGACCGGACUCCGCAAGAGGAGGGUUGUAUUUAGGAUCCAUGACAAAUAAGUACUUAAACGUAAGAAUGAGAAAUUGGGGGCUGGUCACAUAAUCUUGGAAUAAUUGGGAGAAGAUGCAUUUAUCUUUCUCCCAUACUCAGGAGUUGAGUGGCCUGGAUUUGUUUCAGGGGCUGUAACAAUUCAUUUUAGAUCGGCCGGGCCAUGGCACCCAGUCGUUUGGUCCAGCACCAGUUUAGAGGUGGUUUGUUCCGUGAGACUAGCAUUUAAGUCAGCAGAGUUUUGAGUAACGCAGGUGCCCUCCGUAAUGUUUGGGUCUCAUCCAAUCAGAUGGGGGCCUUAAGAGAGACUGGCUGAGGUUCCCCAGAUUCUACCUCCAGGCUGCCUUUGCAUCGACUGCAGCAUCAGGUCUUCCCGGGGUCCAGCCUGUUGGCCUGCCUGCAGCUUUUGGACUUGCCAGCCUCCAUGAGCCAUUUCCUGAAAGUAAAUCUCUCUGUGUAUUUAUUUAGGCUGCUGUUCUGCUUCUUUGGAGAACCGCUCUGGCCAAUACAAUGGCUAAUAGUCCAGUGCCAGCUCUGAAUUCCUCUUGCCUCCUUCUUGCCCGCAACCCAAAUCGGCUUCCAGCUAAUUCUUAAUGUGUGGAAAAAUAGGCAAUUUAUGUUAAGGUGUUGUUGACGUGAAGUGGAUAGGGCAUUGUAGUGCCUCUUAAACAACGAUAAUGCCUUCAGGCCAAAAGAGAGGAGUGCUAAAAGGUUAGCGGAUUGUACCAUACAUAUGCAUCGGUUAUCUGUACACAGGUAUGUGUUUUUACUUAUUUGGGUUUUGGUUGGAGUCGCUUUCUGGAGGUCAGUCUCUGCCAGCUGUGGAUGGUCGGCGCUUGCAACGGCAGGCUAAGUCUUCACAGUCUGGUAAUAGAUUUUCUCAGUCCACGGGUGGUACGUUAAGAACCCAGGUCCCCUAGUUCCAGACGCAGUCUGCUGCUGUCAACCAGACAUCUAAUGCGG
RNAcentral lists this long non-coding RNA (1760 nucleotides) under Panthera leo (lion). RNAcentral's name for it is "lncRNA (ENSPLOG00000011533.1)". The record is from RNAcentral. Lineage: Eukaryota; Metazoa; Chordata; Mammalia; Carnivora; Felidae.